Molecule: long non-coding RNA, 165 nt
Organism: Brassica oleracea var. oleracea
Lineage: Eukaryota; Viridiplantae; Streptophyta; Magnoliopsida; Brassicales; Brassicaceae
Exons: 3
Source: RefSeq, a predicted model, not a curated record
UCUCCGCCGAAAGCUUGAAGCUCCUCCAAUGGCGAUUUUGGCCUGAAGAAUUGGAGAUUUGUUCUUACUCUACGACAUCGUCGGACGCUCUUCUUCUUCUUCCACCAUCAAUUUCAUCAACAUCUCACGUUUCUAAGAAGGUAUGUCUGAGGAGUUACCAAAGCG